Molecule: long non-coding RNA, 992 nt
Organism: Gymnodraco acuticeps
Lineage: Eukaryota; Metazoa; Chordata; Actinopteri; Perciformes; Bathydraconidae
Exons: 3
Source: RefSeq, a predicted model, not a curated record
CUCAGCUCAGUCCCGUUUGAAUGCAUUGAAGGGUCAAAUAUUAUGACAAAGGAAGGAUGCACAGCAAUAAGACGCCAAGAAUAAUCGGCAAGCGAUAUGUUGUAUUGAUGUGGGGCCGUCUCAACAUCUGGCUAUGGGAUGUUUUUGUGGCCAAAAAAUUAUAAAAUGUUGCAUAUAUGGACAAAACAAGUGCGUCGUACGAGGCGUACUUUUGCUGGACCAGGUAACCCGGGGUCGAUGAAACCGACGAUGUGUGGGCAGCACUUCGAGAGAUCGUGUUUCGAACAAUCAACAAUGCUCACUAAGGAGAGGGAGUAAAAGCUUUCUCGAAGGCUUUACAUUUGAACUCCUAUGACUGGUUGCGGACUUGAAGGGAAUUACUUCCUGGCCUUCCUGACAUCCAGGAAAAAGGUGAGAUUCUAAUCAAUUUCAAUGCCAAAAGCAAGUAAUUGUUUUUAACUUUUUUAAUAUGAUUUUUCUGAGAAUUUCAGUUUUAUUGGAUAGUAGAGAUCUACUGGAACCUAACACCAGAGAGAGAGAGGGGGGAGAUGAUAUGCAGCAAAAGGCCCAGCUGGAUGGUUGCUGCUCCGUGUGGAACGUGUUCUAUCAGGCAAAGCACUGUAUCAGGCAAAGCAGUUUGAAUUUAGCCUUUGGAAGAAAGGAUCAUGCCAGCCCACAUCAAACACCUGAUCAAGAACUUGUGAAUCUUCAGGCAGAAAAGAUGAAAACACCUGUUCAAAGUUCCAGUUUCCUGUACAUGGAACCAUGCCUGUCCUCUGUUCCACAUGUCUUCAGUCAGUUCUGGACCCUAUAGCCGCUUUCACACCGCAGGACUUGCCGUACUUUAGUGCCGGCACUAAAGUACCACGGCACUAAAUCCGCCAUGGGGCUAGUGCCAAUCGCAUUCACACCGCAGUACUUUCCCUGAGGCAAGAUUACGCUGAUGUCACUUCGUCUUCUUCUUCUCUGGGUUUACUGGCAGGCCGCAAAAC